This 930-nucleotide long non-coding RNA is filed under the name Salvia miltiorrhiza (redroot sage). RNAcentral describes it as "long non-coding RNA (SMIL_LNC007396)". Lineage: Eukaryota; Viridiplantae; Streptophyta; Magnoliopsida; Lamiales; Lamiaceae. The record is from RNAcentral.
AACAAAGUAAGUUAUGUUCUUAUUGUUUUAUGGUUUCUUAAAUUUAUUUUAACUUAAAUUGAUUAUCUUAUUUUAUACUACAGAGUGAGAAGAAACCUUUGGAGAUUAUGCUGCCCAUUCCUUGAAAGUAAGAUAGAUUUUGCAAUUAUGUUUGUAGUUGUAUUUAAUUAUAACCAGGUUACAUGCCUUUUGGUCUAAAAGGAAAGCUAUCAAACUCUUUCGUCCUUGUAGCUAAGGUGUUAAAUGCUGUGAAAACUGUAGGUUUGAUGUUGCUGCUUUGAUUAUCAAUGUUGUGGCUGGAAUUUAUGCUGGAAAUGUCCCACUUGUGCAGGUGUGUAUUAUAUAUAUAUAUAUAUAUAUUGUUUCACAGCAUUUGUAAAAAUGAAGCAGCUGCGUUUGUAAAAAUGAAGCAGCUGCAUAUGUAAAAUGUCCCACUUUCCCAAGAUAUGUUUCAAAGCAUAUAUAUUGUUUCACAGGUGUGGCUGGAAUUAUGAUAUGAUAUGUUAAAAUAAAGCAGCUGCAUAUGUAAAAAUGAAGUAGCUGCGUUUGUACUAUCAACUUUUCAGAAUAUGUAUGGCUGAAGUUUGAUCAAUUUUAUGUUGUGGAAUCUAUUGAUUGCAUAAUAUGAUGCUUUAAAGUCUUACAUUGAGAAAUGUUCAAAGGUCAGACCUCAUGGUUGAUGUUCUUUAUAUUUUGUUUUUCUUAUAUGCAGCCUUUAACAUGGUUGGUGUUGCCGUGUUGGUAUUGGAGAGACGACUUGGUGUUGCUGAUUCGGAAGCUGCAAAUUUAUAUUUUUAUGUUGUAUUUCAUUUAAGACUUGUUACUUUUUGAAUUUUUGAUGCCUUUAAACUAUUUGAAAGUGCAUUUUUAUGCUUUCGAUGUUUUGGAUAUCUAAGAUUUGUUAUAAUUGAUUUGGAGAAAGACUUUUGG